AUGGAGCGACACAGUGGUGACGACUUCUGGAAUUUUGCUGCCUUGAUUUGGGACAGAUUAUCAGAGGUGGGCACUAUUAUCCUCUCUUUCAUGCAGGAUUUAUCACAUCAGGUUCCUGUUCCAGCAUGGCUCCUGGACUGGCCCCCGGUGCUGUCCCCGGGGGUUCAAUCCAAGCAUAAUUCAUGGAAGCAUGUGUUUAGCAGCGGAACCCAGCUCACCAUUUUAGGUAGGUGGCUCUCACAACUUUCCCCAUCCUGUCCCACCCUCUCCUGUCUCUGGAAAAGUCUGUUUUCUUUCUCUGGGGCUUCUUCCCCUCUGCCCUCCAAGUCUUAAGCAUGGAACCCUUCCUUUCUCCAUGGAGUCUGGGGGAAGCAGGCUAGUCUCAGGGUAUCCUGCAGGAAAGACCCCCACAGGGGUAGCAGCCACCUUCAGGUUCCAAGAGCAGGACACAGCCUUUGCCCGGGGCCUGUGUUGUGACUGGGCAGGGUCAGGGCUCCUCCCCUCUCCCAGGGCAGAUGUCUUAGUGAAGGAUAGAGGCCAGUUCUGAUGAGGGGCCCUGCGGUGGCCUUAGAGACAGUCCCUGGGACCCCAGGGUCUAGGCUGAGCGCUGGAUGCUCAUCCAGCCUGGGUGGGCCACACGGGGUCUGAGGACAUAGGGGUCACCCCAAGAGGAGACCAAUGGAAGGCACAGAGAGGACUCUGGGUCUAGGCUGCAGCUCUGUGGCUUGUGCUGGGUCGGGAGGACCUGGGGACACCAAGGGACAGAUGAGUCUGGGUGAGGUCUGAGAGCCUAGCUCUCCCAGGACAGUCACAAGGAAGGAGAGGGUCUCUUGGGGCAGAGAUGUGUCUGUCCCUGGAGUCCCGUCACCUCUGGGGUCCGGUAUCUCUCUGUUCACGGGU
RNAcentral lists this long non-coding RNA (900 nucleotides) under Rhinopithecus bieti (black snub-nosed monkey). RNAcentral's name for it is "lncRNA (ENSRBIG00000045876.1)". The record is from RNAcentral. Lineage: Eukaryota; Metazoa; Chordata; Mammalia; Primates; Cercopithecidae.